CCUACGGGAGGCAGCAGUGGGGGAUAUUGCACAAUGGGGGGAACCCUGAUGCAGCGACGCCGCGUGGGUGAUGAAGCGCCUCGGCGUGUAAAGCCCUGUCAGUAGGGAAGAAAAUGACGGUAUCUGAAGAAUAAGCCCCGGCUAAAUACGUGCCAGCAGCCGCGGUAAUACGUAGGGGGCAAGCGUUAUCCGGAUUUACUGGGUGUAAAGGGGGCGCAGACGGCGAUGCAAGUCAGAAGUGAAAGCCUGGGGCCCAACCCCAGGACUGCUGUUGAAACUGCGUGGCUGGAGUACAGGAGGGGCAGGCGGAAUUCCUGGUGUAGCGGUGAAAUGCAUAGAUAUCACGCAGAACCCCGAUUGCGAAGGCAGCAUGCCGGCUUCCGACUGACGCUGAAGCACGAAAGCGUGGGGAUCGAACAGGAUUAGAUACCCUUGUAGUC
Molecule: ribosomal RNA, 440 nt
Filed under: uncultured bacterium
Lineage: Bacteria
Description: partial 16S ribosomal RNA
Rfam family: Bacterial small subunit ribosomal RNA
Source: RNAcentral